AAGUGAAGACUGAGUCUGAAAUGGGAAAGACAUCCCCACACAAGUCCAGCACAGGCUGUUAGAACUCUAUAUCUCUUGUUCUGGAAGCUUUGAAGUCCAAGAUGAAGGUGGCAGCAGCUUGAGUGUCUGGGUCCCCAGUUUGAAAUGUCUUGUUACUGCUGACAAGACCUGCAUGACUGACAAUUUGCUCCCUAAGAGAUGAAAACUGACAUUGCUUUGAAGUUCAAAAUGACAUUGCCAAAACAAGAAAAAAUAGAAAAUAACUGCAGCACGUUUAUGACAUUCAUUUCUUUCUCCACAUGAAACAUACAAUGAGAACACUUUAUAGAUGAAUUGUGUCUUUGAUUGAAUAGAGAAUGGUGGACUAGCUUUGGUUUUAUGGAAUUGGAUAAUUUGUCAUAGUUUCUGCCCCUGGAAAAAUGAGAACCCAAAGGAAAACAAGUGGAAAAAACUUUAAAAAAUAGUGAUAUAAUACACAGUGAUAUUUUUGGUUCAUAGAAUACUUUAAAGUACAUAAUUUACAAAGCAAAUUACUAAAUUAUAAGAAAUGCUGUCAUCAUCAAUAAACAUUCACAGAGCUUCAGGUUUUAACACAAAGCAUUCCUCUUAUUUCAGGUGGUAUUAUUUAUGAAAAAAUUACUUGGAGAUUGCUCCAUGGUUAUCACAUUCUUUUCUAACCACCAACUCCCUAUUAUUAUUUACUAUUAUUAGUUAUUAUAAAUACACAUGAAUACACAAUGAAAGCAUGCUUUAUGUAUAGCAUAUAAAUAUAUUUGAACUUUACUUUCCCCAAAUACUAUCUAUCCUGCAAUAUGACAACACCAAUAAAAGAGUAUCUAAAUAUUAAUUGCUCCUAUCACAAUAGUGGAAACUAGAAGAGAUAAGUUUUCCCAAAUCUGAGUAGAAAACCAUGGUU
Molecule: long non-coding RNA, 916 nt
Filed under: Pongo abelii (Sumatran orangutan)
Lineage: Eukaryota; Metazoa; Chordata; Mammalia; Primates; Hominidae
Description: lincRNA
Source: RNAcentral